GGAGUUAGCCGGUGCUUCUUCUGCGAGUAACGUCACAGAUGUAAGGUAUUAACUUACACCCUUUCCUCCUCGCUGAAAGUGCUUUACAACCCGAAGGCCUUCUUCACACACGCGUCAUGGCUGCAUCAGGGUUUCCCCCAUUGUGCAAUAUUCCCCACUGCUGCCUCCCGUAGGAGUCUGGGCCGUGUCUCAGUCCCAGUGUGGCUGAUCAUCCUCUCAGACCAGCUAGGGAUCGUCGCCUAGGUGAGCCUUUACCUCACCUACUAGCUAAUCCCACCUGGGCUUAUCCAUCAGCGCAAGGCCCGAAGGUCCCCUGCUUUCCCCCGUAGGGCGUAUGCGGUAUUAGCAGUCGUUUCCAACUGUUAUCCCCCACAAAUGGGCAAAUUCCCCAGGCAUUACUCACCCGUCCGCCGCUCGUCAUCUUCAAAAGCAAGCUUUUGAAAUGUUACCGCUCGACUUGCAUGUGUUAGGCCUGCCGCCAGCGUUCAAUCUGAGCCAGGAUCAAACUCUGA
Molecule: ribosomal RNA, 512 nt
Filed under: uncultured bacterium
Lineage: Bacteria
Description: partial 16S ribosomal RNA
Source: RNAcentral